UUUGUGAUGUACUGUUUUCUACAUAAAAUCAUCCUAAACAAUGAAAAGAACAUUUUGUAAAAAUAUCUUAUCUUUAAUAUUGGCUGAGUAAGAUUCUUUGUAUAAACCCUCAGUCUGUUAAUUUUGUCUCCAGCCUGUCAAGAUCUUCAGCAGAUGUUUGAGCAAAAAGUCAUCAUCCUCUUUGUCACUCUUCAUCCGUAUUUGGGGUAACAAGCACCUGCUUCCCACAAGAGACUGGACAGCUGAUGUCAGACCUGCACCUUCCUUGAACAUGUUGGUAUCUUACUCUGUAUUUGUUCACGGUGGUCACCCCAGGGUCUCAGGACUCAAAACGAGUGCUCUAUGGAUUGAACAUAAAAUGUAGUAUAAACAAGUGUUAUGUUUUUAAAUGCCACU
Non-coding RNA from Paramisgurnus dabryanus, 396 nucleotides. Lineage: Eukaryota; Metazoa; Chordata; Actinopteri; Cypriniformes; Cobitidae. The record is from RefSeq and is a predicted model, not a curated record.